UCUCAAGUCAUAACUAAAUCCAUGAAUGGAUCUCCUAUAAGAUGACAGGAGAACAUUUGUAACACUUUCUAUGAAGCCUAUAUCUAUAAUGCAUACACUCAAGUCAUUUACAUUUUACAUUUUAGUCAUUUAGCAGAAGCUCUUAUCCAGAGCGACUUACAGUUAGUGAGUGCAUAAUUUUUAAUUUUUUUCAUACUGUCAUACACUCAUAAUGACUUAAUUGAGUUAAGUGUUAAGUUAAGUGCAGUUAUAAACACAUAAUGAGGGCUUAUUAUGUAUUUCUUGCAAUAAAAAAAGAAAAAUGCUACUAGUUUAUUAAAUAUUCAUGACUGCUAUUGCACGGCUCAUGUCCACACUUCUGUACAAUAGGGGGCAGUAAUGCACCAUAACGUUGGAUGCCAACUGUCUAUAAACCCCACUGAAGAAGAAAAAGCUACUCAUGUAAUGCAUGCUGGAAAGCAGACAAAACUAAUGAUUUGCAAGAGAUCUAAACACGAUUAAUAAGCUACUGAACAACAAGUCCAAGAAAUCAUUGCUAACCGCGUUUGCACUUUGAACAGAUUUCUCGACAAUAAUAAUGGAAGAUGUGACUGGGGCUCAGCUCAUUGCAGAGGCACUAAAAGCUCAGUCCAGGUGCGUGUCUGGUUGUGUCUGGACCGGGACUCAUCCAUGCACUUAGUGGAAUGGCCAACGCUAACAUGAACUGCUGGCCUGUGAUUGUUAUUGGAGGCUCCUCCGAUCAAAACCAAGAGACCACUGGGGCGUUUCAAGAGUUUCCACAGGUGGAGGCAUGCAGAUUGUACAAGAGGUGCCCUGUAGUCCACCUCCUCCUGUGAGUAUGGCUGACCAUAUGGCAAUCACAGAAGCACUGGCGGUCCUGAAAGGAGCCAAACGGACUUUCCUCAUCAUUGGCAAAGGUGCAGCCCAUGGAAGAGCAGAGGGUUGCUCUGAAGGAGCUGUGGGAGGGGUG
This is a long non-coding RNA of Coregonus clupeaformis (lake whitefish), 970 nucleotides long. RefSeq lists it as uncharacterized. The record is from RefSeq and is a predicted model, not a curated record. Lineage: Eukaryota; Metazoa; Chordata; Actinopteri; Salmoniformes; Salmonidae. The transcript is spliced from 6 exons.